Coregonus clupeaformis (lake whitefish) is the source of this 384-nucleotide long non-coding RNA. RefSeq lists it as uncharacterized. NCBI's taxonomy places the organism in Eukaryota, Metazoa, Chordata, Actinopteri, Salmoniformes, Salmonidae. The transcript is spliced from 3 exons. The record is from RefSeq and is a predicted model, not a curated record.
AUGCUAGCUCCACUGGUUACUGCUCGCAUGUUGUUGGGCUGAUCCACACCCUGGACCUCUGGAGAGCCCAAGAUGAAAUGUCCACCACAAGCUUGCCACAACAGUGGCAUAAGCCAAGAGGCAAGAAGAUUGAUGCCAAGCCUAUUACAGCGGUCGUGGUGGAAAAGGAAAAUGUGAGUUGGAAGAGAAGACCAGUCUAGUGCAGUUACAACUUUGACAGCUCCCACUAUUGGAGAACACAGAGCCACCACCAUCCUCCUCGAACCCAACUGUGAUAUGAUGAUCUCCCAGUCUGAAGCAGAGGCACUGGAAAAAGAGAAGACAGUAGAGCGACAACAACACCUGGCAUGGCGUCUGCAAUUCUGUGCUUCCAACUUUGUAGCA